Molecule: ribosomal RNA, 1468 nt
Filed under: Listeria welshimeri
Lineage: Bacteria; Bacillati; Bacillota; Bacilli; Caryophanales; Listeriaceae
Description: partial 23S ribosomal RNA
Rfam family: Bacterial large subunit ribosomal RNA
Source: RNAcentral
ACAACCAGGAUGUUGGCUUAGAAGCAGCCACCAUUGAAAGAGUGCGUAAUAGCUCACUGGUCGAGUGACCCCGCGCCGAAAAUGUACCGGGGCUAAACAUAUUACCGAAACUGUGGAUGAACCUCUUCGGAGGUUCGUGGUAGGAGAGCGUUCUAAGGGCGGUGAAGUCAGACCGGAAGGACUGGUGGAGCGCUUAGAAGUGAGAAUGCCGGUAUGAGUAGCGAAAGAAGGGUGAGAAUCCCUUCCACCGAAUAUCUAAGGUUUCCUGAGGAAGGCUCGUCCGCUCAGGGUUAGUCGGGACCUAAGCCGAGGCCGAUAGGCGUAGGCGAUGGACAACAGGUAGAGAUUCCUGUACCAGUGCUAAUUGUUUAACCGAUGGGGUGACACAGAAGGAUAGGGAAUCGCACGAAUGGAAAUGUGCGUCCAAGCAGUGAGUGUGAGAAGUAGGCAAAUCCGCUUCUCGCGAAGCAUGAGCUGUGAUGGGGAAGGAAAUAAAGUACGGAAGUUCCUGAUUUCACGCUGUCAAGAAAAGCCUCUAGGAAGAGUAGUACUGCCCGUACCGCAAACCGACACAGGUAGAUGAGGAGAGAAUCCUAAGGUGAGCGAGAGAACUCUCGUUAAGGAACUCGGCAAAAUGACCCCGUAACUUCGGGAGAAGGGGUGCUCUAUUAGGGUGCAAGCCCGAGAGAGCCGCAGUGAAUAGGCCCAGGCGACUGUUUAGCAAAAACACAGGUCUCUGCAAAACCGUAAGGUGACGUAUAGGGGCUGACGCCUGCCCGGUGCUGGAAGGUUAAGAGGAGUGCUUAGCUUCGGCGAAGGUACGAAUUGAAGCCCCAGUAAACGGCGGCCGUAACUAUAACGGUCCUAAGGUAGCGAAAUUCCUUGUCGGGUAAGUUCCGACCCGCACGAAAGGCGCAACGAUCUGGGCACUGUCUCAACGAGAGACUCGGUGAAAUUAUAGUACCUGUGAAGAUGCAGGUUACCCGCGACAGGACGGAAAGACCCCGUGGAGCUUUACUGCAACCUGAUAUGGAAUGUUUGUACCGCUUGUACAGGAUAGGUAGGAGCCGAAGAGACGUGUGCGCUAGCAUACGAGGAGGCAAUGGUGGGAUACUACCCUGGCUGUAUGACCAUUCUAACCCGCCACGCUUAGCGCGUGGGGAGACAGUGUCAGGUGGGCAGUUUGACUGGGGCGGUCGCCUCCUAAAGAGUAACGGAGGCGCCCAAAGGUUCCCUCAGAAUGGAUGGAAAUCAUUCGCAGAGUGUAAAGGCACAAGGGAGCUUGACUGCGAGACUGACAAGUCGAGCAGGGACGAAAGUCGGGCUUAGUGAUCCGGUGGUUCCGCAUGGAAGGGCCAUCGCUCAACGGAUAAAAGCUACCCCGGGGAUAACAGGCUUAUCUCCCCCAAGAGUCCACAUCGACGGGGAGGUUUGGCACCUCGAUGUCGGCUCGUCGCAUCCUGGGGCU